Molecule: ribosomal RNA, 159 nt
Filed under: Staphylococcus epidermidis
Lineage: Bacteria; Bacillati; Bacillota; Bacilli; Caryophanales; Staphylococcaceae
Description: partial 16S ribosomal RNA
Rfam family: Bacterial small subunit ribosomal RNA
Source: RNAcentral
UUUAUGGAGAGUUUGAUCCUGGCUCAGGAUGAACGCUGGCGACGUGCCUAAUACAUGCAAGUCGAGCGAACAGACGAGGAGCUUGCUCCUCUGACGUUAGCGGCGGACGGGUGAGUAACACGUGGAUAACCUACCUAUAAGACUGGGAUAACUUCGGGA